GACGAACGCUGGCGGCGUGCUUAACACAUGCAAGUCGAACGGAAAGGCCCUGCUUGCAGGGUACUCGAGUGGCGAACGGGUGAGUAACACGUGGGUGAUCUGCCCUGCACUUCGGGAUAAGCCUGGGAAACUGGGUCUAAUACCGGAUAGGAGCCAUUUUUCGUGUGAUGGUUGGAAAGUUUUUUCGGUGUAGGAUGAGCUCGCGGCCUAUCAGCUUGUUGGUGGGGUAAUGGCCUACCAAGGCGGCGACGGGUAGCCGGCCUGAGAGGGUGGACGGCCACAUUGGGACUGAGAUACGGCCCAGACUCCUACGGGAGGCAGCAGUGGGGAAUAUUGCACAAUGGGCGCAAGCCUGAUGCAGCGACGCCGCGUGGGGGAUGACGGCCUUCGGGUUGUAAACUCCUUUCGCUAGGGACGAAGCUUUUUGUGACGGUACCUAGAUAAGAAGCACCGGCUAACUACGUG
RNAcentral lists this ribosomal RNA (465 nucleotides) under uncultured bacterium. Its description in RNAcentral is "partial 16S ribosomal RNA". It matches the Rfam family "Bacterial small subunit ribosomal RNA", at positions 28 to 507 of the family's 1533-position model. The record is from RNAcentral.